This 1631-nucleotide ribosomal RNA is filed under the name Rasbora ennealepis. RNAcentral's name for it is "16S ribosomal RNA". The stretch from base 89 to 1544 matches the Rfam family "Bacterial large subunit ribosomal RNA". The record is from RNAcentral. Lineage: Eukaryota; Metazoa; Chordata; Actinopteri; Cypriniformes; Danionidae.
GCCAAAUAACUAGCUUAACAACCAAUAAAACCUACACCAUAAAUAAGAAAUUACCAUAAAUAUUAAAUAAACCAUUCUCCACCUUAGUAUGGGAGACAGAAAGGGCCCAAAUAAAGCAAUAGAAACAGUACCGCAAGGGAAAGUUGAAAGAGGAAUGAAAUAACCCAUAAAAGCCAUAAAAAACAAAGACUAAAUCUUGUACCUUUUGCAUCAUGAUUUAGCAAGCCCACCCAAGCAAAGAGACCUUUAGUUUGAAACCCCGAAACCAAGUGAGCUACCCCGAGACAGCCUAUAAAAAGGGCCAACCCGUCUCUGUGGCAAAAGAGUGGGAAGAGCUCCGGGUAGAAGUGACAGACCUAUCGAACUUGGUAAUAGCUGGUUGCCUAGAAAAUGGAUAUUAGUUCAGCCCCAUAAAACUCAAGUCAAGAAUAAGACAUAAAGACCAUGAGAUAAGUAUGGGAGUUAGUUUAAGGAGGUACAGCCCCCCAAACGAAGGAUACAACCUUAACAGGCGAAUAAAGAUCAUACUAAAAAAUAAAUUGUUCAAGUGGGCCUAAAAGCAGCCACCUAAACAGAAAGCGUCAAAGCUCAAACAAGCAAAAAUUUAUUAUACCGACAGACAAUCUUACUUCCCCUAUAGUACUAGGCCACCCCAUGCAUCCAUGGAAGAGAUUAUGCUAAAAUGAGUAACAAGAAGAACUUGACCUUCUCUGAACACAAGUGUAAAUCAGACCGGACCUACCACUGAAAUUUAACGAACCCAAAAAGAGAGGGAAAUAUGAAAAACAAAAUAACCAAGAAAACCCCACAACUAAAAAUCGUUACCCCUACACUGGAGUGCACAAAAGAAAGACUAAAAGAAAAGGAAGGAACUCGGCAAACCAAAGCUUCGCCUGUUUACCAAAAACAUCGCCUCCUGGAGCUCUAAAAUAGGAGGUCCAACCUGCCCAGUGACUAUAAGUUCAACGGCCGCGGUAUCUUAACCGUGCAAAGGUAGCGCAAUCACUAGUUCUCUAAAUAGGGACACGUAUGAAUGGUUAAACGAAAGCUUAGCUGUCUCCCUUUUCCAGUCAGUGAAAUUGACCUAUCCGUGCAGAGGCGGAUAUAAUUAUACAAGACGAGAAGACCCUUUGGAGCUUAAGGCACAAGACCCAUUCAUGUAAAAUAAAUUUAUAAAAAAUAAAACUUAAUGAUAUGAGACUAUGCCUUCGGUUGGGGCGACCACGGAGUAAAAAACAACCUCCGAGUGGAUUGAUUAAAAUCCAAAGCCAAAAGAGACACCUUUAAGCAACAGAACAUCUGACCAAAAAUGACCCGGCCACAAGCCGACCAACGAACCAAGUUACCCAAGGGAUAACAGCGCAAUCCUCUCCAAGAGCCCAUAUCAACGAGGGGGUUUACGACCUCGAUGUUGGAUCAGGACAUCCAAAUGGUGCAGCCGCUAUUAAGGGUUCGUUUGUUCAACGAUUAAAGUCCUACGUGAUCUGAGUUCAGACCGGAGUAAUCCAGGUCAGUUUCUAUCUGUAAAGCUGCUUUUCCUAGUACGAAAGGACCGAAGAAAGGGGGCCCACCCUAAAGAGCGCCCCACCCCAAACCAAUGAAUCCAAAUCAAUAAAACAAAGGGGCAAAAA